This 253-nucleotide ribosomal RNA is filed under the name uncultured bacterium. RNAcentral's name for it is "partial 16S ribosomal RNA". It matches the Rfam family "Bacterial small subunit ribosomal RNA", at positions 524 to 776 of the family's 1533-position model. The record is from RNAcentral.
UACGUAGGGUGCAAGCGUUGUCCGGAAUUAUUGGGCGUAAAGAGCUCGUAGGCGGUCUGUCGCGUCGGCUGUGAAAUCCCGAGGCUCAACCUCGGGUCUGCAGUCGAUACGGGCAAACUAGAGUAUUGCAGGGGAGACUGGAAUUCCUGGUGUAGCGGUGAAAUGCGCAGAUAUCAGGAGGAACACCGGUGGCGGAGGCGGGUCUCUGGGCAAUAACUGACGCUGAGGAGCGAAAGCGUGGGGAGCGAACAGG